UAGUGUUCAUCAUGGCGAUCAGAUGGCACCAGGAGAAAUGGAGCCCCUGGCCAAUGAGUCCUAGCAGUGCAGGAGGGGAGACCCUGGAGGAGAGCCCGCCUAAUUUGAUGCCUGCAGAUUGAAUUUCCAGAGUCUUAGGAGGAAGUUCUCCA
This is a non-coding RNA of Pteropus vampyrus (large flying fox), 152 nucleotides long. The record is from Rfam. Lineage: Eukaryota; Metazoa; Chordata; Mammalia; Chiroptera; Pteropodidae.